ACGGAAGGCAGCAGUAGGGAAUUUUCGGCAAUGGGCGAAAGCCUGACCGAGCAACGCCGCGUGAACGAAGAAGGUCUUCGGAUCGUAAAGUUCUGUUAUAGAGGAAGAACGGUUACUGUAGGAAAUGACAGUAAAGUGACGGUACUCUGUGAGGAAGCCACGGCUAACUACGUGCCAGCAGCCGCGGUAAUACGUAGGUGGCGAGCGUUAUCCGGAAUCAUUGGGCGUAAAGAGGGAGCAGGCGGCCAUAAAGGUCUCAAGUUGAAAUGUACGGGCUCAACCCGUACCUGGCAGAGAAACCGUAUGGCUAGAGUUCCGCAGAGGGUCGUGGAAUUCCAUGUGUAGCGGUGAAAUGCGUAGAUAUAUGGAGGAACACCAGUGGCGAAGGCGACGACCUGGGCGAGAACAGACGCUGAGUCCCGAAAGCGUGGGGAGCAAAUAGGAUUAGAUACCCUGGUA
Molecule: ribosomal RNA, 459 nt
Filed under: uncultured Erysipelotrichaceae bacterium
Lineage: Bacteria; Bacillati; Bacillota; Erysipelotrichia; Erysipelotrichales; Erysipelotrichaceae
Description: bacterial SSU rRNA
Rfam family: Bacterial small subunit ribosomal RNA
Source: RNAcentral